RNAcentral lists this ribosomal RNA (373 nucleotides) under uncultured eukaryote. Its description in RNAcentral is "partial 18S ribosomal RNA". It matches the Rfam family "Eukaryotic small subunit ribosomal RNA", at positions 592 to 976 of the family's 1831-position model. The record is from RNAcentral.
CAAUAGCGUAUAUUUAAGUUGUUGCAGUUAAAAAGCUCGUAGUUGGAUUUCGGAUGGGAUCUGCCGGUCCGCCUUUGAGGUGUGUACUGGUAGGUCCUAUCUUGUUGUCGGGGACCAGCUCCUGGGCUUCACUGUCCGGGACUGGGAGCCGGCGAAGUUACUUUGAGUAAAUUAGAGUGUUCAAAGCAAGCUAUGCUUGAAUAUUACAGCAUGGAAUAAUGGAAUAGGACUUGUCCUUUUCGUUGGUUAAAUGGAUAAGUAAUGAUUAACAGGGACAGUUGGGGGCAUUCGUAUUGGGCAGUCAGAGGUGAAAUUCUUUAAUUUGCUCAAGACGCACUAAUGCGAAAGCAUUUGCCAAGGAUGUUUUCAUUAA